GAUGAACGCUGGCGGCGUGCCUAAUACAUGCAAGUCGAGCGAACGGACGAGAAGCUUGCUUCUCUGAUGUUAGCGGCGGACGGGUGAGUAACACGUGGAUAACCUACCUAUAAGACUGGGAUAACUUCGGGAAACCGGAGCUAAUACCGGAUAAUAUUUUGAACCGCAUGGUUCAAAAGUGAAAGACGGUCUUGCUGUCACUUAUAGAUGGAUCCGCGCUGCAUUAGCUAGUUGGUAAGGUAACGGCUUACCAAGGCAACGAUGCAUAGCCGACCUGAGAGGGUGAGCGGCCACACUGGAACUGAGACAAGGUCCAGACUCCUACGGGAGGCAGCAGUAGGGAAUCUUCCGCAAUGGGCGAAAGCCUGACGGAGCAACGCCGCGUGAGUGAUGAAGGUCUUCGGAUCGUAAAACUCUGUUAUUAGGGAAGAACAUAUGUGUAAGUAACUGUGCACAUCUUGACGGUACCUAAUCAGAAAGCCACGGCUAACUACGUG
Molecule: ribosomal RNA, 497 nt
Filed under: uncultured bacterium
Lineage: Bacteria
Description: partial 16S ribosomal RNA
Rfam family: Bacterial small subunit ribosomal RNA
Source: RNAcentral